RNAcentral lists this ribosomal RNA (468 nucleotides) under uncultured bacterium. RNAcentral's name for it is "partial 16S ribosomal RNA". It matches the Rfam family "Bacterial small subunit ribosomal RNA", at positions 28 to 507 of the family's 1533-position model. The record is from RNAcentral.
GACGAACGCUGGCGGCGUGCUUAACACAUGCAAGUCGAACGGAAAGGCCCUGCUUUUGUGGGGUGCUCGAGUGGCGCACGGGUGAGUAACACGUGAGUAACCUGCCCUUGACUUUGGGAUAACUUCAGGAAACUGGGGCUAAUACCGGAUAUGAGCUCCUGCUGCAUGUUGGGGGUUGGAAAGUUUCGGCGGUUGGGGAUGGACUCGCGGCUUAUCAGCUUGUUGGUGGGGUAGUGGCUUACCAAGGCUUUGACGGGUAGCCGGCCUGCGAGGGUGACCGGGCACAUUGGGAUUGAGAUACGGGCAGGAGGCCUACUGGAGGCAGCGGUGGGGAAUUGUGCAAGAUGGGCGGAAUCCGUGUGGAGCAAUGUCGGGUGGGGGAUGACGGCCUUCGGGUUGUAAACCGCGUUAGCCUGGGACGAAGCGUGAGUGACGGUAAUGGGUAAAGAAGCAACGGCUAACUACGUG